CCAAAGGAUGUUUUAACAUCCCCCAAAUACAUUUAUAAGGAGAAUC
Tilletiaria anomala is the source of this 46-nucleotide non-coding RNA. NCBI's taxonomy places the organism in Eukaryota, Fungi, Basidiomycota, Exobasidiomycetes, Georgefischeriales, Tilletiariaceae. The record is from Rfam.